This 413-nucleotide ribosomal RNA is filed under the name uncultured bacterium. Its description in RNAcentral is "partial 16S ribosomal RNA". It matches the Rfam family "Bacterial small subunit ribosomal RNA", at positions 355 to 760 of the family's 1533-position model. The record is from RNAcentral.
UGGGGAAUAUUGCACAAUGGGCGCAAGCCUGAUGCAGCCAUGCCGCGUGUGUGAAGAAGGCCUUCGGGUUGUAAAGCACUUUCAGCGAGGAGGAAGGGUAGUGUGUUAAUAGCACAUUGCAUUGACGUUACUCGCAGAAGAAGCACCGGCUAACUCCGUGCCAGCAGCCGCGGUAAUACGGAGGGUGCAAGCGUUAAUCGGAAUUACUGGGCGUAAAGCGCACGCAGGCGGUUUGUUAAGUCAGAUGUGAAAUCCCCGCGCUUAACGUGGGAACUGCAUUUGAAACUGGCAAGCUAGAGUCUUGUAGAGGGGGGUAGAAUUCCAGGUGUAGCGGUGAAAUGCGUAGAGAUCUGGAGGAAUACCGGUGGCGAAGGCGGCCCCCUGGACAAAGACUGACGCUCAGGUGCGAAAGC